UGAAAUUAGUUCAUAUAUAUAUAUAUAUAUUGGAAUUCAAAUUUCAAUAGGACUCUCACUAUGACCUGACUUAACAACUUUCUAUACGCAUGACUAGACCAGCAAUUAAAUUACUUUGCACUUCCAAUGGAUAUUAAUUAUAUUGAGAUAGACUCUUAAAUGAUCAUCAACUAGCCACUAGCUUUAUAAAGCACCAGCUUUAUAUAAAGCACUAGCUUCUCCAAAGCUGUAGUUUUGAUCCAACGCUAUUAAGCUACCAUUAAUAUAAAAUGCCACCGUCCGAGUAAAUAUCCUUCACCAGAUCAAUAGCAUUCGCUUUGAAAGAAAAUAGGAAGAAAUGGGAGGUAAUGAAAGCAGGGAAAGCUCUAAACAGGAAGGAGGAGGUGAAAAUGCUGCUGCAUCGUCCGGUGACGUCGACUCUGGGUUGACAAAAGGAGCAGUCGCCGCUGGCGCUAUCGCCGGACUCGCCGCUGUGGCUUUGGGCGUAGCUAAAAUACUUUCGGAUUCGUCAUCAUCAGGAGGGGAGAGAAAAACCAUGAAAGCGCCCGGACAAGAUAACCAGAGGAUUGACAGGGACGAGUUUGAGCGUGACCCUGCUGACUAUUUCAAAAACUUGCGCAAGUCGAAGAAAUAGUACGUAGUAGAUCACUAGCUCAUGCUUCUUCUUUGUUCAUGCAAACCCUAUUCAGCUUCAUGCAUUAUCCUAGCUUAUCUGUGUUCUAGCUUGUACCUGAAAUCUUUAUGCUUUAUCUAUGUUAUUGUGAUUAAUUAGAGUCUAUGAUUGCCUUGUCGUGUUGGAUCUAUUCCUGUUUAUGCAGAGUCCGUAUCUUUCGUUUUAACUUCCAGUCUUCGAUCACUAAGAAUGCAAAAUGAAGAUGUUUCAUAAUCAACAUUCAGUUAGGUAAAAAUAACACGUACAUUCUUUACUGGAUCGGAUGAAGUGACAAUGUAUAAGAAUGGAACCUGACUUGGUUUAGAGUCUUGAGAGUGAAACAAGGUCGAGUGAUCGAUUGCUGACUAAAUCAUCAAGGAGAGUAAAGUGACGGGAAGGCCGGCAUACCUCUUCGUCCUCUACUGCAUGCUGCCGUUCAUUAUCAUCACCAUCAUCAUCGUCUUCAACAAAUCUGAGUCUCUCAAUUCAAAUGGUGCUCAUGAGUUUCACAAAGUUGGAAAAUAUUCAAUUGUCUCGCAGCAAUGGAUCUGGAGAAUACUUAAGAGAAAGAGACGAAAGAGAGAAUGGACGAAUAGAUCUAAAGAACGAGACCAAGAGUGAAAAAAUGAGAGAGACCGUGUUAACUUGAAAACCCAAAAAUCUCACAAUAGUACUAGCCAAGGAGGGUUAGGAGGCUGAGAGCAAAAAACAUGUGUUAAGUGGUACCCUUUAUUUUUGUACUCCCCCUUACCAAACACAGAUCAAACCACUUAAUACCUCUUAUCUAGUACAAUACCCUUUAGUCCCAAAUACCAAACAUACAAUUGGGGUACAACAUCUAAAGAAGAUCAUGCAUGAUCAUAGUCAAGGACCACAUGUUGUCUCAGCAAUAAUAAUAGGCACCGAUGGGCAAUAAUAAUGCAUGUCUUAAACGACGGAAGUUGUAGCGGAGCAACGUAGCAUUUUCUAAAACAUCAACACGUACGUGUUUGGUUGUUAGUGGCUGGUCGUAUAUGUGAGGUGGUACGUUUGCCGUACGUAAGAACUUCUCCGUUGAUAUGUACUCCGACGGUGGUGCUUUAUAUAAAGCACUAGCUUUGAUCCAAAAAAUAAAAAAUUUGAUCCAACGCUUUAUAUAAAGCACUAGCUUUAGAAACCACUAGUUUUAUAUAAAGCACUAGCUUCUCCAAAGCUCUAGUUUUGAUCCAACGCUACCAUUAAUAUAAAGCACCAAAGGUCUACCACCCUCCGAGCACAUAUCUUUCACCAAAUCAAUAGCAUUCGCUUUGAAAGAAAAUAGGAAGAAAUGGGAGCUAGUGAAAGCAGGGAAAGCUCUCGACAGGAAGGAGGUGAAAAUACUGGCGCUAUCGUCGCACUGGCCGCUGCCGCUAUCGCCGGACUCGCCGCUGUGGUUUUGGUCGUAGCCCGACUUCUUUCGGAUUCAUCAGGAGGGGAGAAAAAAACCAUGAAAGCGCCCGGACGAAAUAACCAGAGGAUUAAAAGGGACGACUUUGAGCGUGACCCUGCUUCCUAUUUCAAAAGCUUGCGCAAGUAGAAGGACCAGUAGUAGAUCACUAGUUCAUGCUUCUUCUUUGUUCAUGCAAACCCUAUUCAGCUUCAUGCAUCCUAGCUUAUCUGUGUUCUUGUACCAGUAAUCUUUAUGCUUUAUCUAUGUUAUUGUGAUUAAUUAGAGUCUAUGAUUGCCUUGUCGUACUGGAUUUAUACCUGUUAUUUAUGCAGAGUCCGUAUAUUUCGUUUUAACUUCAGUCUUCGAUCACUAAGAAUGCAAAAUGAAGAUGUUUCAUAAUCAACAUUCAAUUGGGUAAAAAUAACACGUACAUUCUUUACUGGAUUGGAUGAAGUGACAAUGUAUAAGAAUGGCCUUCCAUAUUGAAGAGAGAACUCGAGUCCAUCACAAUUGACGAUAUCCCUGCUUCCAUGACAACGUUCUUGAUAGCAAAUACAG
RNAcentral lists this long non-coding RNA (2618 nucleotides) under Fragaria vesca (wild strawberry). Its description in RNAcentral is "long non-coding RNA (FVES_LNC002019)". The record is from RNAcentral. Lineage: Eukaryota; Viridiplantae; Streptophyta; Magnoliopsida; Rosales; Rosaceae.